GGGCCCGCACAAGCAGUGGAGCGUGUGGUUUAAUUCGACGCAACGCGCAGAACCUUACCAGGGCUUGACAUCAUAGUGCAAAGUCUGGAAACAGACUCCCUGUAGCAAUACAGCGCUAUGACAGGUGUUGCAUGGUUGUCGUCAGCUCGUGUCGUGAGAUGUUGGGUUAAGUCCCGCAACGAGCGCAACCCCUAUUUGGUGUUGCCACCGGGUAGAGCCGGGCACUCACCAGAGACUGCCGGAGACGAUCCGGAGGAAGGUGGGGAUGACGUCAAAUCAUCAUGGCCCUUAUGCCCUGGGCCACACACGCGCUACAAUGGCCGGUACAACGGGCAGCCAAGGCGCAAGCCGGAGCGAAUCCUAAAAAGCCGGUCCCAGUUGGGAUUGGGGGCUGAAACUCGUCCCCAUGAACAUGGAAUUGCUAGUAAUCGCGGAUCAGCCACGCCGCGGUGAAUACGUUCCCGGGCCUU
RNAcentral lists this ribosomal RNA (470 nucleotides) under uncultured bacterium. RNAcentral's name for it is "bacterial SSU rRNA". It matches the Rfam family "Bacterial small subunit ribosomal RNA", at positions 917 to 1382 of the family's 1533-position model. The record is from RNAcentral.